Molecule: ribosomal RNA, 624 nt
Filed under: Nothopucciniastrum tiliae
Lineage: Eukaryota; Fungi; Basidiomycota; Pucciniomycetes; Pucciniales; Pucciniastraceae
Description: Pucciniastrum tiliae partial 28S ribosomal RNA
Rfam family: Eukaryotic large subunit ribosomal RNA
Source: RNAcentral
AAAAGCGGAGGAAAAGAAACUAACAAGGAUUCCCCUAGUAACGGCGAGUGAAGAGGGAAAAGCCCAAAUUUGUAAUCUGGCUCUUUCAGAGUCCGAGUUGUAAUUUUAAGAACUGUUUUCCGUGCUGGACCAUGUACAAGUCUGUUGAAAAACAGCAUCAUUGAGGGUGAAAAUCCCGUACAUGAUAUGGACUACCAGUGCAAUGUGAUACAGUCUCUAAGAGUCGAGUUGUUUGGGAAUGCAGCUCAAAGUGGGUGGUAAAUUCCAUCUAAGGCUAAAUAUAGGUGAGAGACCGAUAGCAAACAAGUACCGUGAGGGAAAGAUGAAAAGAACUUUGGAAAGAGAGUUAACAGUACGUGAAAUUGUUAAAAGGGAAACAUUUGAAGUUAGACUUGUUAUUGUUGGUUCAACUUCUUUAUUGAGGUGUAUUCCAAUGGUUAACAGACCAGCAUCAAUUUUUGGGUGUUGGAUAAGGGUUUAGGAAAUGUAGCAACCUUGGUUGUGUUAUAGUCCUUUACUUUGAUACAAUGCUUAGGAUUGAGGAACGCAGUAAGCUUUGUAGCAGAUUUCUUUGGAGAUCUUCUUACUACGGAUGUUGGUGUAAUAGCUUUAAAUGACCCGUCU